GCAGUAUUACUGUGCUAAGGUAGCAUAAUAACUUGCUUCUUAAUUAGGAGAUCGCAUGAAGGGUUAUACAUUAGGAUCCUGUCUCUUUUAACCAAAUAAACUUAAGUAAAAAGUAAAAACUCUUUUAACCAAAGCGGGACGACAAGACCCUGACAAACUUAACAUUUAGUUGGGGAAACAAAAUAAUAAAUAUUUAUUCAUAACUUAAACAUAACUUUAAAAUAAAAACAAGACUAGUUACUGCAGGGAUAACAGCGUUAUUUCUUUUAAGAGCUCUGAUCUAAAAAGAAGAUUACGACCUCGAUGUUGAAUUAAUUCCGCUAUACGGGUGCAACAACCCUAUAAGGUAGUCUGUUCGACUAUUAAAAAAUU
Molecule: ribosomal RNA, 372 nt
Filed under: Pholcus phalangioides (longbodied cellar spider)
Lineage: Eukaryota; Metazoa; Arthropoda; Arachnida; Araneae; Pholcidae
Description: partial 16S ribosomal RNA
Rfam family: Bacterial large subunit ribosomal RNA
Source: RNAcentral